AUACAUGCAAGUCGAACGCUUUUUCUUUCACCGGAGCUUGCUCCACCGAAAGAAAAGGAGUGGCGAACGGGUGAGUAACACGUGGGUAACCUGCCCAUCAGAAGGGGAUAACACUUGGAAACAGGUGCUAAUACCGUAUAACAAUCGAAACCGCAUGGUUUCGGUUUGAAAGGCGCUUUUGCGUCACUGAUGGAUGGACCCGCGGUGCAUUAGCUAGUUGGUGAGGUAACGGCUCACCAAGGCAACGAUGCAUAGCCGACCUGAGAGGGUGAUCGGCCACAUUGGGACUGAGACACGGCCCAAACUCCUACGGGAGGCAGCAGUAGGGAAUCUUCGGCAAUGGACGCAAGUCUGACCGAGCAACGCCGCGUGAGUGAAGAAGGUUUUCGGAUCGUAAAACUCUGUUGUUAGAGAAGAACAAGGAUGAGAGUAGAAUGUUCAUCCCUUGACGGUAUCUAACCAGAAAGCCACGGCUAACUACGUGCCAGCAGCCGCGGUAAUACGUAGGUGGCAAGCGUUGUCCGGAUUUAUUGGGCGUAAAGCGAGCGCAGGCGGUUUCUUAAGUCUGAUGUGAAAGCCCCCGGCUCAACCGGGGAGGGUCAUUGGAAACUGGGAAACUUGAGUGCAGAAGAGGAGAGUGGAAUUCCAUGUGUAGCGGUGAAAUGCGUAGAUAUAUGGAGGAACACCAGUGGCGAAGGCGGCU
This 703-nucleotide ribosomal RNA is filed under the name uncultured Bacilli bacterium. RNAcentral's name for it is "bacterial SSU rRNA". It matches the Rfam family "Bacterial small subunit ribosomal RNA", at positions 51 to 726 of the family's 1533-position model. The record is from RNAcentral. Lineage: Bacteria; Bacillati; Bacillota; Bacilli.